AUAAGAGGCGAUGCCUCGUCCUCCUACCCAACUCCUAUUCCGGCACGUCCACGUCGUGCAGAGCGGUAACAUGCGUUACUAGGGGUGCAAGAGUCCACAGUGGCUCUUUUUGCUGCACUAGUUGCGGCAGAUGGUAACGCAUGGCUAAGCCGGAAAGGGGGAGACAGGCCAACAAAUUAGUGCUGGAAAUUUGUUGGUUCUGGCUUUUGUAAAUAGUGUAAAGUCCACAGCUCCUGCUGUAGGAAGUAGUGAGGCUCAGCAUCCCGGCCUUACCUUCAACGGCAAAUGAAAAAACAGCGGAGCUGAUCAAUACAAAUUAUUUUCAAACUGUUCCAUGUGUUCUGGAGCGUACAAUUUUAAUCAUUGGAGAAGUACAACAAAACACCAGUCCCAAUGGCCAGCAAUUUGUUCGGGGUUUGAGGAACAUAAUCUUCACCAGUGAAGCGAUCGAUGUUUAAGAUCUAAAGCUGAGAGCAAAUUGAAGACAUUCUGCACUGGAUUUGUAACCUUUUCAAGAAUCGAUCUCCCUACCCUUUGAUACAAGCUUUGCCUUCAACUAGUACUGCUUUAAGCUAUAAUCAAUGAAAUAUGGACACUUUCGAUCCAUGACUUUGAUUAUCACCAAACAGCCCAACCAUUCAACGACUACCGGCUUCAAAAGAUCAACCUAAAUGCGAUCAACCAUCUGUCCUCAACCAUCUAAACAUUACAAUCAACUCUGCAAUUCAACAAUCAAUCGGCAAACCGAUCAACCCGCAACAAUCAGCUUAGUUGUGAUAAGGUAUAAUGGUACCCUGCUCAUAAAAAGCAACUUAUACUCUGCUGCUUCGGGCGACAACAAAAAUGUAAUGGCGAUGAUUAGAUUAGGUAGGGUUGGGGUUUUAAAUUAAAUUUAUGUUUAUUAUUUAGAGCAUCUCAAUAUAGCUUUAAGUAUAUCGAAA
This is a long non-coding RNA of Anopheles merus, 941 nucleotides long. RefSeq lists it as uncharacterized. The record is from RefSeq and is a predicted model, not a curated record. The transcript is spliced from 5 exons. NCBI's taxonomy places the organism in Eukaryota, Metazoa, Arthropoda, Insecta, Diptera, Culicidae.